RNAcentral lists this ribosomal RNA (253 nucleotides) under uncultured bacterium. RNAcentral's name for it is "partial 16S ribosomal RNA". It matches the Rfam family "Bacterial small subunit ribosomal RNA", at positions 524 to 776 of the family's 1533-position model. The record is from RNAcentral.
UACGUAGGUGGCAAGCGUUGUCCGGAUUUACUGGGCGUAAAGGGCGUGCAGGCGGUCUGUUAAGUGCAGGGUGAAAGCUCCCGGCUCAACUGGGAGAGGUCCUUGCAUACUGGCGGACUUGAGGGGGGUAGAGGAAAGUGGAAUUCCCGGUGUAGUGGUGAUAUGCGUAGAUAUCGGCAGGAACACCCAGGGGGAAACCAGCCGACUGGGCAUCUGCUGACGCUGAUGUGCGAGAGCGUGGGGAGCGAACCGG